CCUACGGGAGGCAGCAGUGGGGAAUAUUGGGCAAUGGGCGCAAGCCUGACCCAGCAACGCCGCGUGAAGGAAGAAGGCUUUCGGGUUGUAAACUUCUUUUGUCGGGGAACAAAGGCGGAGACGCGUCUCCGGCUGAGUGUACCCGAAGAAAAAGCCUCGGCUAACUCCGUGCCAGCAGCCGCGGUAAUACGGAGGAUGCGAGCGUUAUCCGGAUUUAUGGGGUUUAAAGGGUGCGCAGGCGGGAGAUCAAGUCAGCGGUAAAAUGUCGGGGCUCAACCCCGGCCGGCCGUUGAAACUGGUUUUCUAGAGUGGGAGAGAAGUAUGCGGAAUGCGUGGUGUAGCGGUGAAAUGCAUAGAUAUCACGAAGAACUCCGAUUGCGAAGGCAGCAUACCGGCUCCAUACUGACGCUGAGGCACGAAAGCGUGGGGAUCGAACAGGAUUAGAUACCCUUGUAGUC
RNAcentral lists this ribosomal RNA (458 nucleotides) under uncultured bacterium. RNAcentral's name for it is "partial 16S ribosomal RNA". It matches the Rfam family "Bacterial small subunit ribosomal RNA", at positions 338 to 795 of the family's 1533-position model. The record is from RNAcentral.